This 253-nucleotide ribosomal RNA is filed under the name uncultured bacterium. RNAcentral describes it as "partial 16S ribosomal RNA". It matches the Rfam family "Bacterial small subunit ribosomal RNA", at positions 524 to 776 of the family's 1533-position model. The record is from RNAcentral.
UACGAAGGGGGCUAGCGUUGUUCGGAAUUACUGGGCGUAAAGCGUGCGCAGGCGGCCUUCCAAGUCAGGGGUGAAAGCCCAGAGCUCAACUCUGGAAUUGCCUUUGAGACUGUGAGGCUUGAGUACGGGAGAGGUGAGUGGAAUUCCCAGUGUAGAGGUGAAAUUCGUAGAUAUUGGGAAGAACACCGGUGGCGAAGGCGGCUAUCUGGACCGUAACUGACGCUGAGGCGCGAAAGCGUGGGGAGCAAACAGG